ACAUACAGCUACAAAAUGGAUUUUAAAAAGAUUCUAGAAACUUCUGCCCACCUGCUCACCCACUCCCACUCCCAAUGAUCACAUUACCCCCAUCUUUCAGAACUUCCACUGGCUUACCAUCCCCCAGCUAAUUCACUUCAAAAUCCUCCUUAUCCCCGACAAAUCUCUCCAUAACUUGGCUCCCCCUUACCUGAAUGAACCUCUCCACUGACACACUGCCACCUGUACUCUCUGCUCUGCUGAUGUUGGCCGCCUAUCUAUCAACCUUCCGGACCAAAUGCCGGACCUGAGGUGACAAGGCUUUCUCCAAUGCCACUCCCACCCUCUGGAGCUCACUCCCUAAAAGCAUCAGAGAAUGCUGCUUUGUGUUCCUACCUACUUUUUAAAUCAUCUAGUGUCUAGAAAAGCACUAUAUGAGUAGAAAGAUCUAAAGGAAUGGUGCUGGACAUCAUGCUUGGGAAAAGUACAUGGUUAAAGGAGAAGAGGGAGGUAAAGAAUCAGAUGGAUAGACGGUGUGACCAACAUUUGACCUUGUAUUUAAAUUGCAGUGGCUGCUUAUUACUUUAAUGUAGACCUUGUUCUUGCAUCACACACCCUAAAGAAAUAUGUGAUUGUUUAACUUCAGCCAAAAGCACUAAUUUGAUUUUCCUCAACUCUACACAAGUUGUAACUAAACAUCAAACUCUUCUGGGCUUUGUAUUCCCCAUCUGCCAGUGAAUGAGGAGUUUAACAGGACAAUGUUUACUGAGCAUCUAUGGCCUGGUAUGGAGAAGUGGCUUCUGGUGACUGUGCUGGGACUGGAAAUGGUCGUGGGAGUUGUGGGAAACAGUCUUGUUCUGCUUGUCAAAGUCAUGUGUAGAGGCCAAUUCUGCUGUCGUUACUGGUUUCCUUUCAUCAGUCUCACCCUAUCAGAUCUAGGUACAAUGUUCACUGACACCACAGAUCAUAUAUUUAGUUUUCUUCAAUAGUCGUCUAUUGAUCCACAUCAUCAGUUCAUUUGAUUCUGGUAAUCUAACACAUUUACUACAUUGUCUGACAUGUAAUUUGAGUGCAGGAAUUCCUUUCUGAAAAUGAGCCACUGUGUUCUCAAGGCUGCUCCGUCCUUAUCAUCUCUGGCUCCAUGCUGGCCAUUCUGACAGGAGGUCAGAGGUCACCAUGGUGUGAAGUAGUCAGCCUGCUGAAGUUUGCCUUCAUCACCUCCUCUAUAGGAAGCAUAGCUGUCCUCUGUGUGCAGCGGCUGAUUGGCAUGGCCUUCAGAGGAAGUGCUCUCUUCGUUGUCAUGGUGACAGCGUGCUUGGUUUCUUGGGUGACAGGAGCUGUGUUCGGGAGCAUCCCUGUUGUUUACGCCUGGAUCAGUGAUGAGGAGGCGGAUCUUUCUGAAGUGGCUCCUCUUUUGGUGGCCUCCUACACAAUCUGCUACACUCCCUUUGUUGUGUCUGAGCUGAUCCUGCUGGGUAGGAUGGACCUGUCUCCAGCACCUGAUUGGUUAAGGACAUUAUCCUCCGUUAUGUCAUACCUGGACUGUGGUUUAAACCCUCUUAUCUACUGCACCCAUCAGAGCUUCAGGGAGGCAGGUCUGGCACUGUUAUGGACUAAAAGGAAACCAAUGUCAGAGCCUGUUCUCACUGCUGUCAUUAAGCAUUAAAUGUAAACAUGUGAGGGUUGAUAUAUAAAAUUCAAAAGGUGAGCCCAAAAAUACGCAGAUUUUUAAAAUAUAACUGCCAAGCAAAUUUGAAGCAUGCUUGUUGUACCCUGUUAUAAAUAAUUAAAGAAAGAAAAUGUGAAUUAGACUUGUUUGCAUUGUCUAUUUUGAAGUGAACUAACUAGUCAACAUCAUGUCAUCAGGGAGUGACGCUAUAGGCUUCAUUACACAUUACUGUAAUAAACAGAGCAUUAAAAAACAGAAACAAAAACAGUUGUGUGCCAAUUGUUUAAAAGCCAUAAAGAAGAAGAAGAAACUAAUACAAUUGUGUCCAUCUGUGUGAGAAAAUGGAGAGGGGUCUUCAGGAAUUGUUUUCAGUCAGGUAAAUGGAAAUUAUUCUUUCAUGUUUGCAUGUUUACUGCUGUCUGGAUGUGAAGGCUCUUAAACAGCAUAUCUCUGCCUUAAAAGGAGGCCACUUUUGUCAUACAGUGUGUGCUCUGAAUGACCUGAAACAGCUGUUGCCUUCAUAUUUAUCAUAUCUGGACACACUGUGACAUUUGAGACAACAUACGAUAUUAAGACUUUUUUGCAUUUUUGACAUUUUUGACGACAUACAAAAAUUUAUUUAUUUAUUUAUUUAUUUAUUUGGACGAGACAGUGCAUGUAAAUUAACAUGCAAUCUCAUAAUAGUUUACACAAGGUUGCAGUAAAUAUGCCGGAUUUAGCACAAGGCUAAUGUCCAUCCGUUCUCCCACACAUAAAAGAAAAAAAAAUACAGCGUUGCAGAUGUAUAAAAAACAACAUAGUAAAACAAAGACAAUGACAAUUAAUACUGACUGGGUUAAACCUACCCUAAAAAAGUGCUACUAUUUUAGAAAAGUGCUUUCUAGGCAUAGCCUUUCAUAUGAAAAAUGAAAAAAGAUUAUGAUGUUUCUUUUAUGACAUUUUUCACCACACACUACACUGCACGCCUGUGUUCCUAGAAGGCAAUUUGAAUCGGUAAAUUCAGUAAUUAGUCAAUUAAUUGAUUUACAAUAUUUGUAUAACACACCGACAUAUGCAUAUAGCAAAUUACAUCAAUGUAAAAGUCUAAUUGUGUAAACAGCAAGUUUUGCUUGUCUUGUUGACAUAUUUUAGGUUAAUGUUGACACGGUUUAAGAGCUGCUGAUUAUUGCUUGUAUGGCAAUCAAGAGAAAAUACAUCCUAAUGUUUACUGAUAUAUUCAGAGGGAGGGGAAGGGAAGAAAUGUUUAAGAAUUCAGAUUAAAUUAAUUUUCUAUACAAGAUGUGUUUCAAUAAUCCCACAGUAAAUUAAGGCCUAAGUAAUCUAAGUAAUUUGAAGACUAAUGUAAUCUUAAGGACUUUUAGCAGGGAAGAAGAAGACUGAGAAGAAUGAAUCAGUGGACCAGCAGCAGCAUUAUGAUACAUGUGAUGUCUCAGGAAAAUAAGUGGACUUAAAUUUAUUUUGACAUUUACAAUUCAUGCACCUGAACAUCAAAUGGACGUAAGGCCUCCCACAUGGAGCGAGGUGGGGAAGACUGUGAAGCAGGCAAGAUCAGCAUCAGCACCUGGGCCCAAUGGAAUCUCGUAUAGACUCUAUAAGAACACUCCCGGAGCCCGUAAAUACCUCUGGAAGGUGAUGAAGGUGGCUUGGCAGAGGGGAAUGAUACUGAAAGCAUGGAGAAGAUCAGGGGGUAUUCUGAUCCCCAAAGAGAAGGGCUCGUCAUCCAUCAGCCAGUUUCACCAGAUCAGCCUGUUGAAUGUAGAGGGAAAGAUCUUCUUCAGUGUCCUGGCCCAAAGGCUCUCUAGCGUCUUGCACAGAAACAACUUUGUUGAUACAUCAGGGCAGAAGAUGGGGAUCCGGGAUUUCUCAGGAUGUCUGGAGCAUGCCAAUGUCAUCUGGCACCAGAUACAAACUGCCAAAAAGAACGGAGAGACCUACAUGUGGUUUUCUUUGAACUUGCCAACGCCUUUGGUUCAGUCCCUCACAAGAUCUUAGGGACGGCCUUCAUGUAUUUUGGUGUACCAAAGCAAGUCACUGAUUUGGUCAAGAGCUACUUUCAGGAUCUCCAGUUCUGUGUAACAUCUGAGAGUGACACCACUGCCCGGCAGCAUCUGGAGAUUGGCAUUAUGGCAGGCUGCACAAUUUCCCCUCUGGCAUUCAUCAGUGACUAUGGAGUUGGUCAUACGUGCAUCUCGCUGGGUAAACACAGCAGGAACACAUUGGAUGGAACACAAUAGAAAGUGUGAUGCUUUUGUCCUAUUUCCUAAUCUUAUGGAAAUGUUUGUUUUCAUGGUUGAGGCCAAAGAACAUUUUACUGCCUUAGAUGGACAAUAAAGUUUAUUCUUAUUUAUUCUAUUGUAUCAUUAGUUAACAUGAGCUCCAUACAGUUUUCUGACAUUACACAGUUGUAGAGAAAACACUGCUGUUCUAUUUAACAUUAAAAGCAGCAGAAAAGUACC
This is a long non-coding RNA of Amphiprion ocellaris (clown anemonefish), 4104 nucleotides long. The record is from Ensembl. Lineage: Eukaryota; Metazoa; Chordata; Actinopteri; Pomacentridae.